RNAcentral lists this ribosomal RNA (253 nucleotides) under uncultured bacterium. RNAcentral's name for it is "partial 16S ribosomal RNA". It matches the Rfam family "Bacterial small subunit ribosomal RNA", at positions 524 to 776 of the family's 1533-position model. The record is from RNAcentral.
UACGUAGGGGGCGAGCGUUGUCCGGAUUCAUUGGGCGUAAAGCGCGCGUAGGCGGCUUCGUAAGUCGGCCGUGAAAUCUCCAGGCUUAACCUGGAGGGGUCGGGCGAGACUGCGGGGCUCGAGGUGGGCAGAGGGCAGUGGAAUUCCGGGUGUAGUGGUGGAAUGCGUAGAGAUCCGGAGGAACACCAGUGGCGAAGGCGGCUGCCUGGGCCUGGCCUGACGCUGAGGCGCGAAAGCGUGGGGAGCGAUCCGG